This is a long non-coding RNA of Gasterosteus aculeatus aculeatus (three-spined stickleback), 4820 nucleotides long. The record is from Ensembl. NCBI's taxonomy places the organism in Eukaryota, Metazoa, Chordata, Actinopteri, Perciformes, Gasterosteidae.
CAACGCGAUGCCACCAUGGUAACAACACGAAGGCUUGAGUUUUUAUACGCACUUCAGUCGCGUGUUUAUUAGAGCAACAGCUGGGCUAAGGCGGACGCCAGCUGAGCUAACGGAUGGUAACCCCGACAACGAUAACUAUAACGACUCCGCCCGUCCAGGACAGUCAUCAGAUCCAGUUACCAUGGAGAGCAGUUCAUCUCCACCGGCAACACACACGGAUAGUGAAAACUCGGGGCAAAGCCUUUGGGGCGACCAGGAAGCGGAGGAGCACCAUUACACAGAGGUCCAUGGGCUGAAGCAGCCAAUCGGGGACGAGCAGGACGAAGAAGAGGCUGCAGGGAAAGAAAAUGUCGUCAGGGAUGCAGAUGAGUGUGAUUACCUUGUGUUUGCAAUCGGAGAGCGAAAUGGGAAUGAUAAAGGAGAUGAAAGUGGACAGGACACGGGUAGAGGAGGAGAUAAGGUAGAAGAUGGAGAAAGAGGGGAAACAGAAGGAAAGGAAGAAGGAAGUGGAGCUACAGUGAGGGAAGAUGGAGGAAGAGGAGGUGAAAAAGAAGAGGAUGAAUGCAUAGGAGAGACAGUGGGCGAGAUGAGUAAUGAUGCUCCGUCAAAGCUCCUCCUCAUCUCUUGCAGCCCGGAGCGUCUUUCAUCAUCAGAGCCCCUGAUGGUCCCCUCAUGUCCCUCAGAGCAGCCCAUGGAGGCCAUGUUGCAAGAGGCCUUAGGUCACAACAUUGGCGAAAGAGAUGACCUCAGUGACGUCCAGCACACAGGCUUCCCCCAAGCUGAGGUGGCUAGUGUGUACUCGGACAGCGACGCAGGGGACGGCCAGUGGGCUAGCUUUGCACGCUGUGAUGUCACCAACCAGGAAGAAGCAGGCGGAGGAAUUCACAAUACCACCUGUGAAGGAGAGAGCAAGGAAGAGGAGGGAGGAGGAGCCGAUAAGGGGAGAGCCGAAGAACAGUUUGAGGCAGAAGAAGCGAGUGAAACACAGGACCAAAGGGAGGAGGAGGAGGAGGAGGAGGAGGGGAGCAGACACGUGGAUGAUGAAGAGCAGAUGACGUCCAGGAGAGAUCUAUUUCCACGCACACCUUCUGUCAGCUCCACGGGCAGCUCCACAGAGCCUGACAGAAAGGCUCCCGUGGAUCUCUGUGUCCAAGAAGAGGCCCACAGUGGAAACGUCUCCACUGAGCAUGUGGACUUUCUGUUGGCCCGACAGCAGUGGAGGAAGAUGGAGGAGGAGGUCAAAGGUCAGCCAAUCCCCAAACCAGGCCUCAGAGCUCAGGGGAGCUUCCAGGGCACCCACAGCUCCCUGUACCCGCCCACUCGCAGCCCCCGACUCAAACACAGGGAGAUCCAUCCUGCAGCGGCCAUGGAGCCCACGCUGUCCUCCACCCUGUCCUCCACCCUGUCCCCCGGCUCGGAGGACUCGGGCCUGGAGGAGCCGGAGAGUGCAGUGGAGAGAGAGAUCCGCCGGACUCUGGAGAGGGAGGAAUGCCACCGGAGAGAGAGGGGGGGGGUCACACAGGGCCUCACCGUACCCAGAGCCUCCACCGGGCAGAGCGGACGAUCUCCCCCCAGACCUCCAGCGUGCCGCACCCCUACACUGUCCAUCUCCCCUUCUCCUUCCUCUUCUCUUCCCCGAUCUGUCUACCAUGAGAUGACGGCCAAUAAUGUCAUUAUCCUGGAGCCCGGCUGCUCCGGCUCCACCUCCAGAAACCUCUUACUCUCCUCCGCCACCGAUUGGCCGCUUAGCCAGGAUGCUGUGCCCUCCGCCAACGUCAUCGUCGUUGAGACCUCUAACGUGAUCAUUCGCAGCGCAUCCGAAUUCUGUCUAAGCUCCGCCCCCGUGUCCGCGGAGACCCAGGAGAGCACCUUCUCGUCCAAUCCGUUCUUUAAGCUACGCUCCAUCAGCAGCCAAUCGCUGGUGGAGCGGGAGAUCCGCAUGGUGAGGCAGAGGGAGGAGGAAUGGAGGAGGCAGCGGGAGGAGAUGUGGAGGAGGAGGAGGGAGGAGGAGUGGAGGAGAGGGAGAGAGAGGUACGACACCGUGCUGGUGUCUCCUGGCCUGAGCGAUAACAUCAGCUACAACGUGCCAGAGGUCCUAGAUAGAUGUGUGUCCUCUCCUUCGUCCCCCUCCAGGACCCGCAAAAUGGAAAGAUCCAGCAUGUCUUGUGACCACAAGUUCCCCUCAUCCCUCUCUCUGACGCCGAAGCGACCGAACGCCAUGGCGCAGCGAUGGGAGGCCUCCCUAUUAGCCAAUCAGAAGAAGGAGUGACCAUUUCAAAGCCCACAAUGAGAUCCGACGCCUCCGUUCCUUCCUGCUUCUCUCCAGAAAAGUCACACGGUGUACUGUAAGGUCUUUGAAAAGGUGUGGCUUGAACCCGUGGGUCACAGAUGUGCUGUCUGCGGGACGUCCUGUGAGAAGAGGACUGGUCCUGUCCAACAGCUUUGUUUCAAAGAGUAAGGUUUGGCUUUCCUUAAUGCUUGAACGUCUGAAAAGGUCCUGCUUUCAAACUCAAACUGGUCUGCUGCAUGAUCUGUGAAACAUUGGGGCACAAUGCCACACGUAGGACAUUGUUUAUUAUAGAUAAUAACUUCAUUGACUCAUUCACAAUACUAACCGCAGUCAUAGUACCACCACUGUUUUUGACAUGUCAUGCAGACUUCUAUGUAAACUUUAGAAACACAAUAUUUAUUAUUACCAGUAACACAAUUUGAUUUCGAGCUAUUUAUAAAUGAUGGCAAACAGAUAUGCAUUGAGUUGUAUGACUAUGAAAAAGGUCUUGGCAGUUGCAUUUUAAUUUUAGAUAAAGUAUGAAUUUAGUCCCUAUAUUUUUGAUGUGAUGAACAUAUACAGCGUAUAUUUUACCGUAUUGUAGCUGCGUAGGGGUUUGAGAAGUGACAUUCAAAAAUGAUUUAGCAUGUUCUUUACAAAUGACAAUUCAUAGCAUUUAAGUGCCAACUCAGACUGAAAAAAUCACUGCCUUAAGCCGCUGAGAACAGCACACACACACACACACACACACACACACACACAGAAAGACAAAAAAUGAAUCCAUCAUCCAUUUCGCACAUCAUCUCUUUUCCACAAAGGCAAAACACGUAUUCAAGUAUAAAAAAACUGUCCUAUUUUAUGGAAAAUCAUUUUUUAUGGAAAUGUAAGAAUGGAAACUGGCACAUUCUUUCCCCUUGUUAUGACCCGCCCUACUCCGCCUCUGAUUGGCUGCUCAUCGUGGCCUUUGGUUUGGUUGUGAGAUGAUGAAAAACGGUAGAGCCACAGGGACGGAGCCGGUGGCUCAAUUAGCUUACAGCUAACGGAGGUAUAGUUACUUUGUUACUUUAGCGGUAUUUCAAAAUUAUAUAAUUAACUCGAGUAUUCACAUGGCUUUAAAAAAAGCUGUCAAUUCCACAUUUGUAGCCCAAAGGUUUUAUGCGUGGAGCACACUGUUGUUAUUGCUAUAUAACUGUCCGUGGCUGUGAUGUUCAAGCAAUAUAACUGAAGCACUUCUAAAACAGAGAUUCUAAUCCAGUCUAGUGAAGACUUUUACAUAUUUUAUGUCAUGUUUUGAUUCCUAAAAAGAGAAUUGUUUUAUUGAAUUUGUGCUGCAUAUAUUUAUUGAAUCGGGACAAGCUUAUGAAUCCUUAAAGCUUUUAUUUCUAAAAGGUUCAUAAUAUAUUGUGUCAGAAUGGCUGCAUGAAUUGAAGGUCUGCGAUGUUUUUUAGAUGGAUCUUUUCUGUGGAGUGUGUGUGCGUGAUAAUAAUAAUAAUCCAUCCUCAAUACAUCGUACAUAAAUAGAAAUCCUUCCUCCUUAUUUUGUAGCUCCAGAAGGAGCUCACUGGGUUCCUGAUGAACUCAACUGUCUAUUACAGGUGCAUUCAAGUCAACUCAGAAAUAAGAGACUUCACCUGCCAGGUUGCGAAUAAUACCAGGCGAGUAGAAUGCUAGUGGGUUUUUAUGAAUAUAUUCUGAUUGUGCUCUGAGCAUCGAUGUGAUGUAACACUGUGUUAAGGAAUAAACUCUCCAUCCGCUAAUAAAGUGCAUUUCAGCUGUGAGUUCCUGUGCAGCCUGAAGAUGUGUCCAAACAUCUGACGGGGCUACGAUCUAUACUUUCUGCAAUCAAUUUGCAGAGGUUUGGAUGUUCUUGAAAUGUGCUGUAUUGCAUGUGAAAGAAGUCGGUUACAGUGCGUCCACUCUUCACACUGGCUGUUUCUGCCCCAUCUCACCACACCACACCCAGUGGCAAUGUGAGGAAACGGAAAAACUAUAUACUAUAAUAUUGUGUUGGCAGCAGAAGGACAUGAGCAUCAGUAAAUAUUGGCUUUGUGUGUUUUCUUGCACACUCGAGUCACGUCAGAUGGGGUUGGUACGUUGUUACAUUGUUACAUCGUUUCGCUAUUAUUUUCACACAAUCCUUGAACUUGUUAUUCAAGGCCCAUAUUUAACAUCAUUUUGACGUACCAUGCCAGCGUUGUUUGCAUGUCAUGGUGUUGCUGCGUUAGCUUUGCUGUAUGAAGGCACAGUAGAUAUAUAUAUAUAUAUAUAUAUAUAUAUAUAUAUAUACCUGGUCUGCAUCCAGUUUAGUGGGACAGCUGAACUGAUACUUUAUAACUGUAGUUUUAAGAAGGAUGUGCAUUUGUGAAUACACUGUGUGACAGAAUAUUCCGUACGGCUCCUAGAAACAGCUUUUCCUCACGAGCCGAGCAUCAUUUAUUCAGGUUCUGUUCUUUUCUUAGUUUAUUUGCCUUGCGCUUCAUUCAUUUAUUGUUGCCAAAUGAAAGGUCUUGUGAUGACAUCUUCAAUAAAACGUAACUUCUGAAACCCGCAA